AAUGAACGCUGGCGGCAUGCCUAACACAUGCAAGUCGAGCGGGUGCAGCGAGCUUGCUCCUGCAUUCAGCGGUGGACGGGUGAGUAAUGCCUAGGAAUCUGCCUGGUAGUGCGGGAUAACGUCCUGAAACGGGCUCUAAUACUGCAUACGUCCUGAGGGCGACAGUGGGUGAUCUUCGGACGUCACGCCAUCAUAUUAGCCUAGGACGGUUUUGCUAGGUGGUGGGGUAAAGGCUUACCAAGGCGACGAUCCGUAACUGGUCUGAGAGGAUGAUCAGUCAGACGGGAACUGAGACACGGCCCCGACUCCUACGGUGGGCCGCAGUGGAGAAUCUUGGACGAUGGGCGAAUGCCGGAUCCUGGCAUGCCGGGUGAGUGAUGAAGGUCUUCGGAUGGUAAAGCGCUUUAGGUUGGAGGGAAGUGAAGUAAGUUAAUACCUGGCGGUUUUGACAUUACCGACAGAAUAAGCACCGGCUAACUCCGUG
This 484-nucleotide ribosomal RNA is filed under the name uncultured bacterium. Its description in RNAcentral is "partial 16S ribosomal RNA". It matches the Rfam family "Bacterial small subunit ribosomal RNA", at positions 29 to 507 of the family's 1533-position model. The record is from RNAcentral.